RNAcentral lists this unclassified non-coding RNA (172 nucleotides) under soil metagenome. RNAcentral describes it as "partial contains 5.8S ribosomal RNA, internal transcribed spacer 2, and large subunit ribosomal RNA". The record is from RNAcentral.
AACCUUAUGGACCUGCGGGCGUAUACCUGCGGAAGGAUCAUUAAUAAAUGUUACUUCGGUAACUUAAUUAAUCCCUAACACCUGUGCAUCUUGUCGCUUCGGCGUCAUUUUAUAAACAUCAGUGUAAUGAAUGUAACGUAUUAUAACAAAUACAACUUUUAGCAACGGAUCU